This 1230-nucleotide ribosomal RNA is filed under the name Alectorobius sawaii. RNAcentral's name for it is "Carios sawaii partial large subunit ribosomal RNA". The stretch from base 973 to 1131 matches the Rfam family "Archaeal large subunit ribosomal RNA", at positions 2544 to 2703 of the family's 2987-position model. Lineage: Eukaryota; Metazoa; Arthropoda; Arachnida; Ixodida; Argasidae. The record is from RNAcentral.
AGAAAAAAUUAAUUGGUGUUGUUAAUAAAAAUAGGGAUAUUAAUUUAGUAAUAAAAUUGAAUUUUUGGGAUUAUCGAUAGGUUAGUGUAUUGUAAGAGAAUUUUGAAAAAUUGAAAAAUAUUUUUUAGAGAAGUUAUGUUUUGUACCUUUUGUAUUAGGGGAUAACUAAAUUAAUUAAAUAUUUAUUUUUCCCGAAAAAUUUUGAGCUACUUGUACAUUUUUAUGUUGUUGCAAAAAUAUAGAUUAGUGUUAAGUAGAAAUGAAAUUUUAUUCGAAAAGUUGGAUAUCUGGUUAUUUUAGAGAAAUUAAAUAUUUUAAAUAAUUAUUUCAUUUUUAUGAAGUUAUUUAUUUACUUUUUAGGGAUAAGCUUAAAAAGUUGAUAUAAAGAUUUUAUUGUAAGGUUGUUUAAGGUUUAAAAUUUACUGAGUUUUUGUAAUAAAAUAGCUAGAUGGUUUUCAAAUGUUAUUGAUUUUUUUUUUAAGUAAUUAAAUUUAAGAAAAUUUAUGUUAAUAUUAGUAUAAAUUUGGAUUUUUAAUAAAAUUAAUAGUAUUUUAAUGAAGUGAUUAAAUUUAUAGGAAUUAGGCAAUAUAAAUUUUUGAAUGUUUAUCAAAAACAUUGUAUUUUGAGGUAGUGAAAUAUAAAACCUGCUCAAUGAUGCUUAAAUUGCUGUGGUAUUUUGACUAUACAAAGGUAUUGAAAUAAGGCUUUAAUUGAGUGCUAAGAGAAUGGUUUAACAAAAAUUAACUUUCUUUAAGUUUAUAAUAGAAGUUGAUUUAAAAAUGAAAAAGUUUUUAUUUAUUUUUGGGACAAGAAGACCCUAUGAAUUUUUUCUAUGACUUUGUUUAAAAUUUUUUGAAAAUAAAAUGAAGUAAAUUUAUAAGUUGAUUGGGGUGAUUUUUAAAGAAUAUUUAUCUUUAAAAUUUGAAGGAAUUAGAACCAAAAAUUUUGGUUGUUUGAAUAAAAUACUCUAGGGAUAACAGCGUAAUUAUUUUGGAUAGUUCAUAUAGAUAAAAUAGUUUGCGACCUCGAUGUUGGAUUAAGAUACUAGUAUAAUGAAGCAGUUAUAUUAAGAAGUUUGCUCAACUUUUGAAAUCUUACAUGAUCUGAGUUCAGACCGGCGUAAGCCAGGUUGGUUUCUAUCUGAAUAAGUAUAAGAAAUUUUUUAGUACGAAAGGAAUUAAAUUUAUAAAUUAUUUAGUUAAUUAUUUUGAAUAUAAUGUUAAUAUUCUA